This is a long non-coding RNA of Carassius gibelio (silver crucian carp), 1832 nucleotides long. RefSeq lists it as uncharacterized. The record is from RefSeq and is a predicted model, not a curated record. NCBI's taxonomy places the organism in Eukaryota, Metazoa, Chordata, Actinopteri, Cypriniformes, Cyprinidae. The transcript has 5 exons.
ACGAUUUUUUGAUUUACUAUAUUAGCUACUAGUAUUGAAAAGACACAAUAUUAGUAAAUGAAUUUGUUGUUUUUUUAUUCGAUGAGAAGAAAAAUCACUUGGCAACCAUAUUUCAACAUUGUAGCAACCACCCAGAAACCCUAGCAAUAACCUGGCACAUAAAUUUAACAUACAACGUUUUUAGAAUCAUUUUAUGUAGAAUAAUAUCUCUGAACACUUUUGCAACCUUUUGCAUCAAUGUUGUGGCAACCUCCCAGACAACCUUAGCAUCACGCCGGUAACUUCUGCAUGGCAAACGCCACUCAAUCUUCCCCCAGAAAGGUUAACAUACUAUGAUUUGGGACAUGCUAAUCUUGCAUUCUAUGUAGUUCAUGAUUUGGGACACGGCCUGUACAAUGUACAGGCCGGGGCUUUGCUGGUGCGGAUUCACGAUUGGCUGCUUAAACGGCUUUCCAUAUCAGCAGCGUCUAGAGGAGAAGAGCCCCGAGAACCGAGGGGAUGAAUGUGAUGGUUUGACCGGCCUGGAUCAUACGGUGCUUUGCUCUCAGUCAUAACUCUGCAGCUCAUAUGCAAAAUGGCCACUGUCACAACACAUCUGCUUCCAAACGAUAAGCCGUGGAGAGUCAGGAAGCGCGGCAGAGCUGAGGACCAGAGGAGCUGCAAUGGAAAUGGAGAGCCCUGGGGGGUGCAAGCUUAGUAAUGACCCAAAGAGAGGACACGAGUCCUUGGCCUUAGCCGGCAGCCACCGCGACAAGCCCGGCCACACUUUAUUUGGUUACAAGAGAUUAAUAGGACUAAGCUGCUCUGCUGGAUAAACCAAGGCUUCAUUGUGAGGGCCGAAUUACUGCCGUGCAGUGAUUCUUUAUGUUUUACUGCCCCGGAGGAAACUGUAAACACUAUCACAUCGCACAAUUCCUCAAGGAGGAGCGAAACAAAUCAGCCUGGAUGCUAAUCCCCACCCUUUGCUUAUUACCAAUACGGUGCCCUUUCAAUACCACUAACCAAUAUAAAAUAAAAUGAAAUAAAAAUGCUAUGUGCCUGCUAAGGAGUUCUGAAUGUUUUAGCAUAUUGCUAUGCUGUUGCUAAGGUGUUCUAUGUGCUUCUACUGGGUUGAAAUGCAUUUGCUGAGGUGUUAAGAGUGUUAGCAUAUUGCUAAAGUGUUCUGUGUGUUUAAACACAUUGUUAAUCAGUUGCUAAGGUGUUCAGAGUGUUUUUAGUAUGUUGUUGUGCGGUUGCUAAGGUGUUCAGAGUGUUUUUAGUAUGUUGUUGUGCGGUUGCUAAGGUGUUCAGAGUGUUUUUAGUAUGUUGUUGUGCGGUUGCUAAGGUGUUCAGAGUGUUUUUAGUAUGUUGUUGUGCGGUUGCUAAGGUGUUCAGAGUGUUUUUAGUAUGUUGUUGUGCGGUUGCUAAGGUGUUCAGAGUGUUUUUAGUAUGUUGUUGUGCGGUUGAUAAGGUGUUCAGAGUGUUUUUAGUAUGUUGUUGUGCGGUUGCUAAGGUGUUCCGAGUGUUUUUAGUAUGUUGUUGUGCGGUUGCUAAGGUGUUCAGAGUGUUUUUAGUAUGUUGUUGUGCGGUUGCUAAGGUGUUCAGAGUGUUUUUAGUAUGUUGUUGUGCGGUUGAUAAGGUGUUCAGAGUGUUUUUAGUAUGUUGUUGUGCGGUUGCUAAGGUGUUCAGAGUGUUUUUAGUAUGUUGUUGUGCGGUUGAUAAGGUGUUCAGAGUGUUUUUAGUAUGUUGUUGUGCGGUUGCUAAGGUGUUCAGAGUGUUUUUAGUAUGUUGUUGUGCAGUUGCUAAGGUGUUCAGAGUGUUUUUAGUAUGUUGUUGUGCGGUUGCUAAGGUGU